Molecule: non-coding RNA, 68 nt
Organism: Amyelois transitella
Lineage: Eukaryota; Metazoa; Arthropoda; Insecta; Lepidoptera; Pyralidae
Source: the annotation of a RefSeq genome assembly
AGGAUUUUAGUUUACUCAACAAAACAUUUGAUUUGCAUUCAAAAAAUAUUGAUUUUUCAAUAUAUCUU